CAGGGCGUAGCUACAACACAAAGCAUCCAGCUUACACCUGGAAGAUAUCUGCCACUGACCAGAUCGCCCUGA
RNAcentral lists this transfer RNA (72 nucleotides) under Burhinus bistriatus. Its description in RNAcentral is "tRNA-Val". Lineage: Eukaryota; Metazoa; Chordata; Aves; Charadriiformes; Burhinidae. The record is from RNAcentral.